Molecule: ribosomal RNA, 463 nt
Filed under: uncultured Klebsiella sp.
Lineage: Bacteria; Pseudomonadati; Pseudomonadota; Gammaproteobacteria; Enterobacterales; Enterobacteriaceae
Description: bacterial SSU rRNA
Rfam family: Bacterial small subunit ribosomal RNA
Source: RNAcentral
CUACGGGCGGCUGCAGUGGGGAAUAUUGCACAAUGGGCGCAAGCCUGAUGCAGCCAUGCCGCGUGUGUGAAGAAGGCCUUCGGGUUGUAAAGCACUUUCAGCGGGGAGGAAGGCGGUGAGGUUAAUAACCUCAUCGAUUGACGUUACCCGCAGAAGAGGCACCGGCUAACUCCGUGCCAGCAGCCGCGGUAAUACGGAGGGUGCAAGCGUUAAUCGGAAUUACUGGGCGUAAAGCGCACGCAGGCGGUCUGUCAAGUCGGAUGUGAAAUCCCCGGGCUCAACCUGGGAACUGCAUUCGAAACUGGCAGGCUAGAGUCUUGUAGAGGGGGGUAGAAUUCCAGGUGUAGCGGUGAAAUGCGUAGAGAUCUGGAGGAAUACCGGUGGCGAAGGCGGCCCCCUGGACAAAGACUGACGCUCAGGUGCGAAAGCGUGGGGAGCAAACAGGAUUAAUACCCGGGUAGUC